Molecule: long non-coding RNA, 2288 nt
Filed under: Marmota monax (woodchuck)
Lineage: Eukaryota; Metazoa; Chordata; Mammalia; Rodentia; Sciuridae
Source: RNAcentral
GCAAUUUUAAAAGGAUUUUUAUCUUUAGAUAUAAAUAUUGUUACCGCUGUUGGCCGGUGACGAGUCCUUGCUUCCCCAAUGAUGAAGAAUAACACCAAAGAAGCACGCCGAGGCAAGGUCAGAGUGGAAAAUUAGAAGUUUAUUAAAGGACAGCAGAAAAGACUUCUCCCGGAGGAAGAAGGCGACCCAAGAGGUGGAAUCCGUGGAAGUGCGGUUGUCUCCCCUUUUUAUAGUUUUGGUGAUGGAAUGUAGGGGGAAGUGUUGGAACACAGGUAAUCUGGGCAGGAAGGACUUCUUUGGGAUGGGCUAUCUUCAAAUCUGCUGGGGCUGUUCCCUGGGUUCCAUUAACAUUUCUUUGGGGUGGACUUUGGCCUAGGGCCUUUCCAGGACUUCAUUAACAUUCCAUGAGUUGUCCUGGUUUCCCGGAAUCAUUGUCAGCAUGGCCUCCAUUUUAGAUUUCACUCGAUAUGAUAUUAGACCCAAUUUACCUAACUAUACUGACUACCUAAUUUUAAAUCUGGCUUCAAUAUGACUAUGUUUCUGAAUAAAAAGAUAUAAUGUUUGAGACUUGCUUCAAAAUAUUCUGGUAGAUAAGGGGCAGGGGGGAAGGGGAUAUGAAUGAAUAAGUUAGUAAUGGUUGAAGUUAGAUAAGGUUUGAGCAUGGAGUUAUAUUUCUCCUUUGUAUGUUUGGAAGUUUUCACAAUAAAAAGUUUUCCCACCUUUUUGUCAUGUUAAAAUAGAAAGCACAUAAUAUUUACUAUCUUAACCAUUUUAAGUAUGCAAUUCAUAAUGAAUUCAUAAUGUUGUACAUUCAUUACCACCAUUCAUCUCCAUAAUUAUUUUCAUCUUGUAAAACUGAAAUUCUAUUUCCACUAAACAAUAACUUCCCAUUCUCACUUUUCACAGCUUUGGCAAUCACCAAUUUUCUGUCUCUAUGAUUUUUUUUUUUUUACUAAUCUAAAUAUCUCCUAUGAGUGGAAUCAUACAGUAUUUUUUCUUGUGACCAAUUCAUCCAUGUUGUAGCAUAUGUCAGAAUUACCUUCCUUUAAAAAAGCUGAAUAAUCUCCCAUGGUAUGUAUAUGCCAUAUUUUGUUUAUCCAUUCAUCUGUUGAUGGACUAUUCAUAAUAUGUGUCCAUAAUAUGGACACAUAUUAUGAAUAGUGCUGUUAUGAGUGCAUACAUAUCUCUUCAAAAUCUUCUUUUCUUGGGGCUGGGGCUGUAGCUCAGUGGUAGAACGCUUGCCUAGCAUAUGUGAGGCACUGGGUUUGAUCCUCAGUACCACAUAAAUAAAAUAAAGUUAUUAAAAAAUUCCCCCAUUAAAACACCAAGAAGCAGAAUUGAUGGACAAAUGGUAACUCUAUUUUUAAUUUUUUUGAAGAACCACCAUACUGUUAUAAUUUUUUAAAAUAUUUAUUUUUUAGUUUUAGGUGGACACAAUACCUUUAUUUUAUUUUUAUGUGGUGUUGAGGAUCAAACCCAGCGUCCUGCGCAUGCCAGGUGAGUGCGCUACCGCUUGAGCCACAUCCCCAGCCCCACCGUACUGUUUUCUACAAUGGUUGUACCAUUUUAAUUCCUAUCAAAGUACACACAAAGAUUCCAAUUUUUCGACAUUCUUGCUAACACUUGCUAUUUUCUGUUUUUCUUUUUUCCAAUAGUAGCCAUACAAAUGGGUGUGAGCUGGUGCCUCAUUGUGACUGUAAGAUGUGGUCUUGCUACAUUGCUCAAGUUGGUAUUGACCUCUUGGCCUCAAGUGAUCCACCAACUCAGCUUCCUGAAUAGCUGGGUCAUGCCACCAGGCCCAGCUUUUUUUGUGGUUUUGAUGUAUAUUUCCCUAAUGAUUAAUCAAGAGUCUUUUCACUUCCUCAUUGGCCACUUUUGGCCAUUUUUUUUAAGAGAGAAUUUUAAUAUUAAUUUUUUAGUUCUCGGCAGACACAACAUCUCUGUUUUGUAUGUGGUGCUGAGGAUCGAACCCGGGCCGCACGCAUGCCAGGCGAGCAUGCUACCGCUUGAGCCACAUCCCCAGCCCCAAGUUUUGGCCAUUUUUAAAUCAGGUUUUUUGAGUUUUUGUUGUUGAGUUUUAGAGUUAUCUAUGUAUUCUGGAUACUAACACCUUAUCAGAGAGACAACUUGUAAAUAUUUUCUCCCACUGUGUGGAUUGCCUUUUUAUUGUGCUGAUGUUAUCUUUACAACUUUAAAUGUUUUUCAUGACGUCCAAUUUACAUAUUUUUUCUUUUGUUGCCUGUGCCUUUGAUGUCAUAUUCAAUAAAUCAUUGCAAAAAUCAAUGUCA